GGUGAGGUAACGGCUCACCAAGGCAACGACGGGUAGCUGGUCUGAGAGGAUGGUCGGCCACAUUGGGACUGAGAUACUGCCCAGACUCCUGCGGGAGGCUGCAGUCGGGAAUCUUCCGCAAUGGACGAAAGGCUGACGGAGCGACGCCGCGUGGGGGAUGAAGGCCUUCGGGUUGUAAACUCCUGUCGGGGUUCACAAAAAGACCUGUAGUUAAUCGCUGCCGUUUUGGAUUAGGCCCCAAGGAAGCACCGGCUAACUCUGUGGCCGCAGCCGCGGUAAAACCGAAGGUGGCAACGUUGCUCGGAAUUACUGGGCAUAAAGCGCACGCUAGCGGCCUUGUAAAUGUGGUGGGAAAACCCCCGGCUCCACCUCCGAAUCUCAUCGCAUACUGGUCGGCUCAAGCUUGAGAGGGGACAGUGGAACUCCUGGUGGAACGGUGGAAUGGCUAAAUAUCCGGAGGAACGCCCGAUGUGAAAAGCACUCUCUGGCUCAAUGCUGACGCUGAAGUGCGAAAACUAGUGGGAGCGAACGGGAUUAAAUACCCCUGUAGUCCUACGCCUAAACGAUGGGCACUAACUAGGCGGGAUUCCUAUGUCCUUCUGUGCCACCAUUGUGUUAAGUGC
This 623-nucleotide ribosomal RNA is filed under the name uncultured Actinobacteridae bacterium. RNAcentral's name for it is "bacterial SSU rRNA". It matches the Rfam family "Bacterial small subunit ribosomal RNA", at positions 251 to 867 of the family's 1533-position model. Lineage: Bacteria; Bacillati; Actinomycetota; Actinomycetes. The record is from RNAcentral.